AUGACCUCNAAUCAGGUAGGGAUACCCGCUGAACUUAAGCAUAUCAAUAAGCGGAGGA
RNAcentral lists this unclassified non-coding RNA (58 nucleotides) under uncultured Pachyphloeus. RNAcentral describes it as "partial 28S ribosomal RNA". It matches the Rfam family "Eukaryotic large subunit ribosomal RNA", at positions 1 to 57 of the family's 3401-position model. Lineage: Eukaryota; Fungi; Ascomycota; Pezizomycetes; Pezizales; Pezizaceae. The record is from RNAcentral.